AUUGUAUGAUUUCAUACGUGAGGGCCAAAGUGGGUUUUGGUGUAAAAUGCAAAGAGACAGGACUCUAUCUGCUCCAAUCCAAUACUAGAUAAUUCUCAUGUUCACAAGAGAUUGCACUAUGCUAUGCAAGUAUGGGUCAAAGGAAUGAAUUAAGAGGCCUGUCUCUAUUGCAGUCACAUGCAUGGUUGCAGAUAAGUUCAGAAAUUUGCUGGUGUGGUGUUGAUGCAUUAACUUGUACUUAUAUGUGUCACAUGUGCACCUUAAUGUAUGUUUGGCACCAAAAGUGACUUUAUCCUUUUCCUUGUAUAUAUUUUGAUGCACAACAACUACUGCAUGUGAACCAAGUAGAUACUGAUGUCAUAUCUUAAGCUAUACACCAUU
This is a non-coding RNA of Camellia sinensis, 381 nucleotides long. NCBI's taxonomy places the organism in Eukaryota, Viridiplantae, Streptophyta, Magnoliopsida, Ericales, Theaceae. The record is from RefSeq and is a predicted model, not a curated record.